AUUGAACGCUGGCGGCAUGCCUUACACAUGCAAGUCGAACGGCAGCACGGGUGCUUGCACCUGGUGGCGAGUGGCGAACGGGUGAGUAAUAUAUCGGAACGUACCUUAUUGUGGGGGAUAACGCAGCGAAAGCUGUGCUAAUACCGCAUAAUCCCUAAGGGGGAAAGCGGGGGACCGUAAGGCCUCGCGCAAUUAGAGCGGCCGAUACCUGAUUAGCUAGUUGGUGAGGUAAAGGCUCACCAAGGCAACGAUCAGUAGCUGGUCUGAGAGGACGAUCAGACACACUGGGACUGAGACACGGCCCAGACUCCUACGGGAGGCAGCAGUGGGGAAUUUUGGACAAUGGGGGAAACCCUGAUCCAGCAAUGCCGCGUGAGUGAAGAAGGCCUUCGGGUUGUAAAGCUCUUUUGUCAGGGAAGAAACAGCAGCUCUAACACAGUUUGCGAAUGACGGUACCUGAAGAAUAAGCACCGGCUAACUACGUGCCAGCAGCCGCCGUAA
This 501-nucleotide ribosomal RNA is filed under the name uncultured bacterium. RNAcentral describes it as "partial 16S ribosomal RNA". It matches the Rfam family "Bacterial small subunit ribosomal RNA", at positions 30 to 523 of the family's 1533-position model. The record is from RNAcentral.